GUCUCAAGCCACACCACUCUGAAUGUGCCUGACCUCAUCUAAUCUUGGAAACUAAGCAGGGUCGGGUCUGGUUAGUAGAUGGAUGGGAGAAAGUUUUCAGAGGUGUUGAAACC
Molecule: ribosomal RNA, 113 nt
Filed under: Chinchilla lanigera (long-tailed chinchilla)
Lineage: Eukaryota; Metazoa; Chordata; Mammalia; Rodentia; Chinchillidae
Source: RNAcentral